This 74-nucleotide ribosomal RNA is filed under the name Phaeomoniella chlamydospora. RNAcentral's name for it is "partial 5.8S ribosomal RNA". It matches the Rfam family "5.8S ribosomal RNA", at positions 84 to 154 of the family's 154-position model. Rfam says of the family: 5.8S ribosomal RNA (5.8S rRNA) is a component of the large subunit of the eukaryotic ribosome. It is transcribed by RNA polymerase I as part of the 45S precursor that also contains 18S and 28S rRNA. Lineage: Eukaryota; Fungi; Ascomycota; Eurotiomycetes; Phaeomoniellales; Phaeomoniellaceae. The record is from RNAcentral.
GUGAAUCAUCGAAUCUUUGAACGCACAUUGCGCCCUUUGGUAUUCCGAAGGGCAUGCCUGUUCGAGCGUCAUUA